This is a long non-coding RNA of Prunus persica (peach), 693 nucleotides long. RefSeq lists it as uncharacterized. The transcript has 2 exons. The record is from RefSeq and is a predicted model, not a curated record. NCBI's taxonomy places the organism in Eukaryota, Viridiplantae, Streptophyta, Magnoliopsida, Rosales, Rosaceae.
ACUAUAAAUGGUAAUCCGUAGCCUCUCUAUCUUUCACAGACUUCACUCUCAGCAGAGAGUAGACCUCUCUAGGAUGCGGCACUGUUGCGAAGGCAUCAUAUUAUGAGUAACGGUUCUUCUGCUCCACGGAAGACUUGGUUCAGAUCAGGUGCCAUUAAACCGGGUGAAGCAUUCGGUUACUUCAAUUUACAUGUUGGUUGGUCUUUGUACGGCUCGACCGUGAUUUCUUUGUAUAAACAAAUGAGUUAAUUGUUAUUGUCAUUUGAAUAAGGGUGGACUUGGGUUUCAUUUGAGUUUACAUCCUUAUUCGAAUUACAUAAAUGGAAGAUUUACUAUAUGUGUUAGUUAGAAUAUCACUCUUUGAAGUGAUAUCGGAUUUGGAAAUUGAAGAUUUUGACUAGAAUAAUAAAAAUCUAUCUUCGAAGGAAAAAUUGUGUUAGUACGAUGGAGUAGAAUAUGUGUUGGGAUGGUACUGUUUUGAGGAUGAAGGCUUAUCUGGUUUUGGAUAAUACUUGAUUACCUGGAUACAAGUUACCUUGCGAUACAAUAGAUUUGUGACUUGGAUUUGUGACUUAAAGAUCCAAGGAUGUAUAACUUGGAGGGUAUAAUGUUUGUACCAAAUUGUAUUUAGAUGAAAUUUGUACCAAAAUAAUAAAAGGUGUACAUCGAAUUGUUAGCUUGUGUCUUGCUUUA